Molecule: unclassified non-coding RNA, 259 nt
Filed under: uncultured fungus
Lineage: Eukaryota; Fungi
Description: partial contains 5.8S rRNA and ITS2
Source: RNAcentral
AACGCACAUGGCGCCCCCUGGCAUUCCGGGGGGCAUGCCUGUCCGAGCGUCAUUGCUGCCCAUCAAGCCCGGCUUGUGUGUUGGGUCGUCGUCCCCCCCGGGGGACGGGCCCGAAAGGCAGCGGCGGCACCGUGUCCGGGCCUCGCGCGGAUGGGGCUUUGUCACCCGCUCGACUAGGGCCGGCCGGGCGCCAGCCGGCGUCUUCAACCAUUUUUCUUCAGGAUGACCUCGGAUCAGGUAGGGAUACCCGCUGAACUUG